RNA transcript from Parus major (Great Tit), 2001 nucleotides. It is a transcript of the gene named heterogeneous nuclear ribonucleoprotein A/B, with no coding region annotated. The transcript is spliced from 10 exons. The record is from RefSeq and is a predicted model, not a curated record. NCBI's taxonomy places the organism in Eukaryota, Metazoa, Chordata, Aves, Passeriformes, Paridae.
CGGGCGCGGGCCCGAGUACGUGUCUGAGGGGGAGGCGGCGGUGGCGGCGGGGCCGGUGCGGAGUAGCCGCGGGGAGCGGGAUCGGCUCCAGCACCAACACCGGAGCGGUUUUAAUUAGACUUCGGUCGGCCCGGGUUUUAUCGGGAGCGGAUUUUAAAAGCGCCUCUCGUCCCUCUCCCUCUGCGGACGGGGCACCAUGUCGGAAACAGAGCAGCAGCUGGCGGCCGGCGCCACCCAGAACGGGCACGAAGCGGCCGAGAGCGCUGGGGAGCAGCAGGCCGAGACCGGCGGGGCUCCGGCAGCGGCGGCGGCGGCAGGAGCGGCGGGAGCAGCGGCGGCGGCGGGAGCCGGCCCAGCAGCGGGAACAGCGGGCACGGCCGCCAGCCAGAAUGGGGCUGAGGGCGAUCAGAUCAACGCCAGCAAGAACGAGGAGGACGCGGGGAAGAUGUUUGUUGGUGGCCUCAGUUGGGAUACAAGCAAAAAAGACUUGAAAGAUUACUUCACCAGAUUUGGUGAGGUAACUGACUGUACGAUAAAGAUGGACCCUAACACAGGAAGAUCCAGAGGCUUUGGAUUUAUUCUCUUCAAAGAACCUGGGAGUGUUGAAAAGGUUCUGGAACAGAAAGAACACAGACUAGAUGGACGACUAAUUGAUCCCAAGAAGGCCAUGGCAAUGAAAAAGGAUCCAGUGAAGAAAAUAUUUGUUGGUGGACUAAACCCAGAAGCCACAGAAGAGAAAAUCAGGGAAUACUUUGGAGAGUUUGGAGAGAUUGAAGCAAUUGAACUGCCAAUGGAUCCAAAGACCAACAAAAGGAGGGGGUUUGUGUUCAUCACUUUCAAGGAAGAGGAUCCAGUGAAGAAGGUUUUGGAGAAGAAAUUCCAUAACGUCAGUGGAAGCAAGUGUGAGAUUAAGGUAGCACAGCCGAAAGAAGUGUACCAGCAGCAACAGUUCAGUAGUGGUGGAGGAAGAGGUAGCUAUGGAGGAAGAGGCAGAGGUGGAAGAGGCGGCGCUCAAAGUCAAAAUUGGAAUCAAGGUUAUGGCAAUUACUGGAACCAGGGUUAUGGGAAUCAAGGAUACGGCUAUCAGCAAGGUUAUGGUGGCUAUGGAGGCUAUGAUUAUUCAGGAUAUGGGUAUUAUGGAUAUGGACCAGGCUAUGAUUACAGUCAAGGCAGUGCAAAUUAUGGGAAGACACCAAGACGUGGUGGUCAUCAGAAUAACUACAAGCCAUAUUGAUCAAACUUAUUCAGGAGGCAUGGUUGGCUUUACCUCAUGGAAAAUAUUGUGCUUUCAUAAGCAGGCCUGGCAGUGGUCACAGUUGAUGCCUACAAGCACUGGAUAUUCCACAAGUUGAAGACGGAAUACUGACUUGUUUACCUGAAGAUAAUAGGACUUCGGGGUAUUUCCUCAGAGAAAAUAUAAAUUUUAAUAUAAUUUCAUAAGCUUUGGAGGUUAGCUUGUCUUGUAGCUUCAGUGAUAUCAAACUUCUUCAAGUAGGAGCUAGAUAGAAAGCUGUUUAGUUUUUGCCAGCGUAUGUAAAACAAGACUUUUCUAUCUGCAUUGUAGAUUGUUUGUGGACACUUCCAGAUUCUUGUGCUUUCUGCAGUCAUUCUGGGGACUGAACUCUCAUUGAUAUUGAAAGAAGUUCCAUGAACACAACAUGUGCAGGAAUUUGAGUGUAGAAGCCCACAGCAUGGUUUGGAAUAGUGAACCGAUUUUAGUUUGGAGAUGACUGGGGGAGAUGGGAAGAGCAACUGUACAUUAAGGGAACAAUUACAGAUCUUCCUGGUAACAUCAAUGAGAGAUUUGCCUUCAACCUUUCACAGAAAAUUUUUUAGCUUUAAUUUGGGAUAUUAAAGGGGUUUUUCAAAAGCACUAAAGGCCAGUGGAAGCUUGUAAGCUGCUCCUUAUGCCUUUAAAAACCCCUACACCAAAAGUGAUAGCUGAGAACCUGAAAUGGAAGUAAAUAAAAUGCAUUUUCAUUGCUGUUUUGAGUUACAUAA